Long non-coding RNA from Canis lupus familiaris (dog), 343 nucleotides. RefSeq lists it as uncharacterized. Lineage: Eukaryota; Metazoa; Chordata; Mammalia; Carnivora; Canidae. The record is from RefSeq and is a predicted model, not a curated record. The transcript is spliced from 4 exons.
ACCUAACCUAAUGCUCUAGGAACUCCAUCUCCACAUAAAUACACUUCAAAGCUACCAAGAGGGCCCUGAAGUUUCCAUAGUGGCAAGUAGGCCUCAACUGAGGUCAGCAGAUUGUGGAGGAGGUCCAGAAAAUGAAAAGGAAGUAGACUCUUGCUUUGAAAAAAAUAACAAUAAUUAUGCAUGUAUUGGAUAAUCAAGAAGGAUUAAAAGAAUAAAUGUGUCAAGUUUGAAGAAUGACUUGAAUGGCAAAAUAUAUCCCAGCAAUCCCCAAAGUCUUAACUCAUUCCAGCAUCAACUCUGAAGUCUAAAGUCCAAAGUCUCAAGUGACAAUUCAUCUCCAGGU